AUGUGUAAAUAGUAGGUUCCA
This 21-nucleotide non-coding RNA is filed under the name Arabidopsis thaliana (thale cress). Lineage: Eukaryota; Viridiplantae; Streptophyta; Magnoliopsida; Brassicales; Brassicaceae. The record is from RNAcentral.